CCUACGGGAGGCAGCAGUGGGGAAUAUUGCACAAUGGGGGAAACCCUGAUGCAGCGACGCCGCGUGAGUGAAGAAGUAUUUCGGUAUGUAAAGCUCUAUCAGCAGGGAAGAAAAUAACGGUAACUGGACAAACAACCCCGGCUAACUACGUGCCAGCAGCCGCGGUAAUACGUUGGGGGCAAGCGUUAUCCGGGUUUACUGGGUGUAAAGGGAGCGUAGACGGCAGUGCAAGUCUGAAGUGAAAGCCCAGGGCUCAACCCCGGGACUGCUUUGGAAACUGUGGGGCUGGAGUGCAGGAGAGGUAAGUGGAAUUCCUAGUGUAGCGGUGAAAUGCGUAGAUAUUAGGAGGAACACCAGUGGCGAAGGCGGCUUACUGGACAGUAACUGACGUUGAGGCUCGAAAGCGUGGGGAGCAAACAGGAUUAGAUACCCUUGUAGUC
This 440-nucleotide ribosomal RNA is filed under the name uncultured bacterium. RNAcentral describes it as "partial 16S ribosomal RNA". It matches the Rfam family "Bacterial small subunit ribosomal RNA", at positions 338 to 795 of the family's 1533-position model. The record is from RNAcentral.